UGUGUUGGCUUGAAUUUCCUUUAGAUUCUAUGCCCGUUGAUUUUCCUUUGGGGAGCAUUAUUAUUCUUGAAAUGCAAUACAGCGGUCUGAGACAAGUAUUCAAGGGAACAAAAUAUCUUCCGUCCUUGAAGAUCCUUGAUCUCAGCCAUUCUCAUUCCCUUUCAGAAACCAUUGACUUCUCAUAUUGCCCAAAUCUAGAGAAAUUGGUUCUAGUAGACUGCAUGAGCCUGAUUUAUGUCCAUGGAUCCAUUGGAAACCUAGAGAGACUUAUUUACUUGAAUAUGAAAGAUUGCAAAAGGAUUAGGAUGCUUCCCAAGAACAUUUGUAUGCUAAAAUCACUUGAAACAUUUAUUAUAUCUGGUUGCUCAAAUCUAAAGGAGUUAUCAAUUGAGAUGCUGAGGAACAUGAACUCGUUAAAAGUGCUUGAGACAGAUGGAAUUCCAAUAAAUGAAUUAUGGCCAAAAAGAAGUUCGAGUAU
This is a non-coding RNA of Prunus avium (sweet cherry), 478 nucleotides long. Lineage: Eukaryota; Viridiplantae; Streptophyta; Magnoliopsida; Rosales; Rosaceae. The record is from RefSeq and is a predicted model, not a curated record.